Molecule: ribosomal RNA, 964 nt
Filed under: Podila minutissima
Lineage: Eukaryota; Fungi; Mortierellomycota; Mortierellomycetes; Mortierellales; Mortierellaceae
Description: eukaryotic LSU rRNA
Rfam family: Eukaryotic large subunit ribosomal RNA
Source: RNAcentral
UUGAAAUCUGGCUGGUUUACUAGUCCGAGUUGUAAUUUAAAGAAGCGUUUUCGGUGGCAGCCUGGGUAUAAAUCCUUUGGAAUAGGGUAUCAUAGAGGGUGAGAAUCCCGUCUUUGACCUAGUGCAUGCUACUAUGUGAUACGUUUUCAAAGAGUCGAGUUGUUUGGGAAUGCAGCUCAAAAUGGGUGGUAAAUUUCAUCUAAAGCUAAAUAUUGGCGAGAGACCGAUAGCGAACAAGUACCGUGAGGGAAAGAUGAAAAGAACUUUGAAAAGAGAGUUAAACAGUGCGUGAAAUUGUUGAAAGGGAAACGUUUGACACCAGUCAUGUGGGUGGAAAAUCAGUCUUUUGCAUUGGGGAGUUGUAAGGGUUCGGACCGCAAGGCCGGCUUUUGCUUCAUCUUUGGUGUAAGUGAUGCACUUUUUCAUCUACAGGUCAACAUCAGUUUCUUUUGCUGGACAAAACUCCGAGAGAAGGUAGCAGCUUAGGCUGUGUUAUAGCUCUGGAGCGAUACAGUGAAGGGGACUGAGGUUUUCGCAGCGUGUGCUCUCGGGCAAGGCUGGAUGGGUGCUAUGGGAUCGUUCGGGGUACAAUGCCUGGCAUUUUGCUUCGUGUCUUUUCUAUACUCGCUCAACUCAGCUCUUCCACGCUUAGGAUGUUGACUUAAUGGUUUUAAACGACCCGUCUUGAAACACGGACCAAGGAGUCUAACAUAUAUGCAAGUGUUUGGGUGGCAAACCCAUGCGCGUAAUGAAAGUGAACGUAGGUGCGAUCCGCAAGGUGCAGCAUCGACCGAUCUUGAUAUUUUUGGAUAGAUUUGAGUAAGAGCAUAUAUGCUGGGACCCGAAAGAUGGUGAACUAUGCCUGAAUAGGGUGAAGCCAGAGGAAACUCUGGUGGAGGCUCGUAGCGAUUCUGACGUGCAAAUCGAUCGUCAAAUUUGGGUAUAGGGGCGAAAGACUAAUCGA